Molecule: transfer RNA, 76 nt
Filed under: Rhodocyclaceae bacterium
Lineage: Bacteria; Pseudomonadati; Pseudomonadota; Betaproteobacteria; Rhodocyclales; Rhodocyclaceae
Description: tRNA-Thr
Source: RNAcentral
AUCAACGUGCAGAAAUGACAACUUGCACCGCCUUGUAAGCGGUAGGUCCACAGUUCGAGUCCGGGUGUCGGCACCA